This 568-nucleotide long non-coding RNA is filed under the name Nicotiana benthamiana. RNAcentral describes it as "long non-coding RNA (NBEN_LNC039293)". The record is from RNAcentral. Lineage: Eukaryota; Viridiplantae; Streptophyta; Magnoliopsida; Solanales; Solanaceae.
AUUUAAAUCUUCCACCACUCUUUGAUGAUUCACUUUUGCAGCGCAAACAAGAAGUGCACUUCCUCCUAUUUUAACCAAAGCAUUGGAGGAACAGAUUACCCUUCUUGCAACUGAAGAAAUGCAUCCAUAGGCACAAGCAAUAGAAUCGCCAAGAACAGCGGGCUGAGCUUGGCAGAGUCUUGACAAUAUCUCAAUAGCUUUGUCUUGCAAAAAAUUACCCUCCUUGCAAUUGAAGAAAUGCAUCCAUAGGCACAAGCAAUAGCAUCGCCAAGGACAGUGGGCUGAGCUUGGCAGAGUCUUGACAAUAUCUCAAUAGCUUUGUCUUGCAAAACUGGUGAGGCAUCAGCAAUGCAUGAAACUACUGGAAUUAUGCUAUUAGGGUAUUCAGCUAGAACUGCCCAUGCAGGUUUGAUACCACUAGCUCCUUCCAGCCUUAAAAGGAAACAAAGUGCAUCUAGAGCUUCUGAUAUAGCAAGAGAGUCACUGCCAGUUGAUUCUAGGAAAGAAACUAAUGCAAGAACUGUUACACAACGGUUAACACAAUCAGUUAAGGCAGGAUUAACCUGAC